GAGGAGGAGGCAGCCGACACAGCAGUGCCAGAGUGUUUUGCCAGUUUUGGUCUCACAGGCCACCUGAAUUUCCCAGUGGUCGCUCUUCGUGAACUCCUAGUGAUUUUGUUUUUUGUGCCUCCACAGGACUUCUCCUUGUAGAAGCUGUGAAACCUUUUGUGGAGAUCCAGCGCAGAACCUCUCCUCCUGUAUCCCACCUGGAGAUCAAACCUCCACGCUGGCUGCCCUCCUCUCUCCUGCCUUUAAGAGACCCGAUCAGACCUGAUCCGCCCUCCACUGCUGCCCCGCCGCCUUAAGCUUAGGAGCAACACCCGACCUCAAGUUAUCCUCCAGGAACCAUCAGACUCCCCUCAGUCCAGAUCAUCUCAGCCAAAACUGAUUUUAUCAGACGCUUCCUGGCAGCUGCAUCAGUGACAGAAACUCCAUUGUUUCCAUCUCUGUGCUUUUGAGAAACGGAACCAACCAGGAACCAACAGAACCAACCAGGAACCAACAGAACCA
This is a long non-coding RNA of Poecilia latipinna (sailfin molly), 501 nucleotides long. RefSeq lists it as uncharacterized. The transcript is spliced from 3 exons. The record is from RefSeq and is a predicted model, not a curated record. NCBI's taxonomy places the organism in Eukaryota, Metazoa, Chordata, Actinopteri, Cyprinodontiformes, Poeciliidae.